RNAcentral lists this ribosomal RNA (652 nucleotides) under Pantoea sp. RNAcentral's name for it is "bacterial SSU rRNA". It matches the Rfam family "Bacterial small subunit ribosomal RNA", at positions 82 to 730 of the family's 1533-position model. The record is from RNAcentral. Lineage: Bacteria; Pseudomonadati; Pseudomonadota; Gammaproteobacteria; Enterobacterales; Erwiniaceae.
UCUUGGGUGACGAGUGGCGGACGGGUGAGUAAUGUCUGGGGAUCUGCCCGAUAGAGGGGGAUAACCACUGGGAACGGUGGCUAAUACCGCAUAACGUCGCAAGACCAAAGAGGGGGACCUUCGGGCCUCUCACUAUCGGAUGAACCCAGAUGGGAUUAGCUAGUAGGCGGGGUAAUGGCCCACCUAGGCGACGAUCCCUAGCUGGUCUGAGAGGAUGACCAGCCACACUGGAACUGAGACACGGUCCAGACUCCUACGGGAGGCAGCAGUGGGGAAUAUUGCACAAUGGGCGCAAGCCUGAUGCACCCAUGCCGCGUGUAUGAAGAAGGCCUUCGGGUUGUAAAGUACUUUCAGCGGGGAGGAAGGCGGUGAGGUUAAUAACCUCGCCGAUUGACGUUACCCGCAGAAAAAGCACCGGCUAACUCCGUGCCAGCAGCCGCGGUAAUACGGAGGGUGCAAGCGUUAAUCGGAAUUACUGGGCGUAAAGCGCACGCAGGCGGUCUGUUAAGUCAGAUGUGAAAUCCCCGGGCUUAACCUGGGAACUGCAUUUGAAACUGGCAGGCUUGAGUCUCGUAGAGGGGGGUAGAAUUCCAGGUGUAGCGGUGAAAUGCGUAGAGAUCUGGAGGAAUACCGGUGGCGAAGGCGGCCCCCU